Molecule: long non-coding RNA, 851 nt
Filed under: Elaeis guineensis (African oil palm)
Lineage: Eukaryota; Viridiplantae; Streptophyta; Magnoliopsida; Arecales; Arecaceae
Description: long non-coding RNA (EGUI_LNC048021)
Source: RNAcentral
UGGUCUAUGGCAGAAAAAGGAGGGGGCACCCAAGAGUUGGGCACCCCUUGUCUUGCCCUGUUUUGAUUUUUCUUGACUGGGUAUUUGACCUAGACAAGGAUUCUUUAUAUCUCUUGAUUUAAGAUAAAUUUCUUUAGAAAAUUUUUAUGGAUUACAGAGUACUGAGAGACCUUUUGGGUAUGUGAAAAUUAGAGAGAGAGUGUUGGGGUGUGGAGAUAUAAUAGACACAAAACUAAGUGUCUGGGUUAGAGCAAAGAGAAGAAGAAGAGGGUCGUCUUCUAGGGUUGCUGAGUUCAUCUCUUCCCUUCCUCCAUCUGUGAGUUUUCUAAGAGUGUCUCAUAUCUAAAACUUCUUUUCCUACUUCUCAUCUUUGGAAGAGUCCAAAUCAAGAAGAAGGUGGCAUCUGAUCGACCAUCGAAGAAGGAUCAGCACAGUACUAGCAUAUUGUGCUGAUUUCCUAGACCAGGACUUCUGAUCGUGAUUCAUGGACUCGUGUGGAUGACUCUUAGAGGUCGGAUGCAUGUGCGGCUUGCAACAUCAUCCUCAAGCCUGGAUCAGCAAAGUUAGAAUGUCUAACUUGCAAGGUAAUAGAUCUGAUCUAUUAUAUUUUACAUACAUUAGAUGUAGUAUAGAAACAUGUUGAUAUGAUUAACAUGUAGUUCUUGCUCUUUAUAUUUUAAUUUCUGAUUUAAUGCCAUGUAAUAAUCAUGUAAUAGAAUCUUAGAUCUAGGGAUUCUCUGAUUUUAUAAGAUAAAUUUUGAUUUAUUUUAAUCUUCCGCUACUUGAUCUUAAAAAAGUUUCAAGAUCUAACCCUGAAACUCUAGAUCUGGUUCCUUCAAGAAGAUCCUUCC